GACGAACGCUGGCGGCGUGCCUAAUACAUGCAAGUAGAACGCUGAAGGAGGAGCUUGCUCUUCUGGAUGAGUUGCGAACGGGUGAGUAACGCGUAGGUAACCUGCCUGGUAGCGGGGGAUAACUAUUGGAAACGAUAGCUAAUACCGCAUAACAGUAGAUGUUGCAUGACAUUUACUUAAAAGGUGCAAUUGCAUCACUACCAGAUGGACCUGCGUUGUAUUAGCUAGUUGGUGGGGUAACGGCUCACCAAGGCGACGAUACAUAGCCGACCUGAGAGGGUGAUCGGCCACACUGGGACUGAGACACGGCCCAGACUCCUACGGGAGGCAGCAGUAGGGAAUCUUCGGCAAUGGACGGAAGUCUGACCGAGCAACGCCGCGUGAGUGAAGAAGGUUUUCGGAUCGUAAAGCUCUGUUGUAAGAGAAGAACGAGUGUGAGAGUGGAAAGUUCACACUGUGACGGUAGCUGACCAGAAAGGGACGGCUAACUACGUG
This 495-nucleotide ribosomal RNA is filed under the name uncultured bacterium. RNAcentral describes it as "partial 16S ribosomal RNA". It matches the Rfam family "Bacterial small subunit ribosomal RNA", at positions 28 to 507 of the family's 1533-position model. The record is from RNAcentral.